AGUGAACGCUGGCGGUAGGCCUAACACAUGCAAGUCGAACGGCAGCACAGUAAGAGCUUGCUCUUACGGGUGGCGAGUGGCGGACGGGUGAGGAAUACAUCGGAAUCUACUUUUUCGUGGGGGAUAACGUAGGGAAACUUACGCUAAUACCGCAUACGACCUACGGGUGAAAGCAGGGGAUCUUCGGACCUUGCGCGAUUGAAUGAGCCGAUGUCGGAUUAGCUAGUUGGCGGGGUAAAGGCCCACCAAGGCGACGAUCCGUAGCUGGUCUGAGAGGAUGAUCAGCCACACUGGAACUGAGACACGGUCCAGACUCCUACGGGAGGCAGCAGUGGGAAAUAUUGGACAAUGGGCGCAAGCCUGAUCCAGCCAGACCGCGUGGGUGAAGAAGGCCUUCGGGUUGUAAAGCCCUUUUGUUGGGAAAGAAAAGCAGCAGGUUAAUACCCCGCUGUUCUGACGGUACCCAAAGAAUAAGCACCGGCUAACUUCGU
RNAcentral lists this ribosomal RNA (491 nucleotides) under uncultured bacterium. RNAcentral describes it as "partial 16S ribosomal RNA". It matches the Rfam family "Bacterial small subunit ribosomal RNA", at positions 29 to 506 of the family's 1533-position model. The record is from RNAcentral.